UACGGGGGAUGCAAGCGUUAUCCGGAAUCAUUGGGCGUAAAGCGCCUGUAGGUUGUUUAAUAAGUCUGUUGUUAAAGACUAGGGCUCAACCCUAGAAAAGCAAUGGAUACUACUAGACUAGAGUAUGGCAGGGGUAGAGGGAAUUUCUAGUGUAGCGGUGAAAUGCGUAGAUAUUAGAAAGAACACCGGUGGCGAAAGCGCUCUACUGGACCAUUACUGACACUCAGAGGCGAAAGCUAGGGUAGCAAAAGGGAUUAGAUACCCCUGUAGUCCUAGCCGUAAACGAUGGAUACUACAUGUUGUAUUUAUUUUACAGUAUGGUAGCUAACGCGUUAAGUGUUCCGCCUGGGGAGUACGCACGCAAGUGUG
RNAcentral lists this ribosomal RNA (369 nucleotides) under uncultured phototrophic eukaryote. Its description in RNAcentral is "SSU rRNA". It matches the Rfam family "Bacterial small subunit ribosomal RNA", at positions 524 to 896 of the family's 1533-position model. The record is from RNAcentral.